This 425-nucleotide ribosomal RNA is filed under the name bacterium. Its description in RNAcentral is "partial 16S ribosomal RNA". It matches the Rfam family "Bacterial small subunit ribosomal RNA", at positions 355 to 776 of the family's 1533-position model. The record is from RNAcentral.
UGGGGAAUAUUGCACAAUGGGCGCAAGCCUGAUGCAGCGACGCCGCGUGAGGGAUGGAGGCCUUCGGGUUGUAAACCUCUUUCGCCAGUGAAGCAGGCCAUCUUCUUUGUGGGGUGGUUGACGGUAGCUGGAUAAGAAGCGCCGGCUAACUACGUGCCAGUAGCCGCGGUAAUACGUAGGGCGCGAGCGUUGUCCGGAAUUAUUGGGCGUAAAGAGCUCGUAGGCGGCUGGUCGCGUCUGUCGUGAAAUCCCCUGGCUUAACUGGGGGCUUGCGGUGGGUACUGGACGGCUUGAGUACGGUAGGGGAGACUGGAAUUCCUGGUGUAGCGGUGGAAUGCGCAGAUAUCAGGAGGAACACCGGUGGCGAAGGCGGGUCUCUGGGCCGUUACUGACGCUGAGGAGCGAAAGCGUGGGGAGCGAACAGG